GGUCAAGUUAUUAAGAGCAUAGGGCGAAUGCCUUGGCACCAAGAGCCGAUGAAGGACGGGAUAAGCACCGAUAUGCUUCGGGGAGUCGCAAAUAGACACUGAUCCGGAGAUUUCCGA
RNAcentral lists this non-coding RNA (117 nucleotides) under Tissierella creatinophila DSM 6911. RNAcentral's name for it is "Bacterial large subunit ribosomal RNA". It matches the Rfam family "Bacterial large subunit ribosomal RNA", at positions 1 to 117 of the family's 2925-position model. The record is from Rfam by way of RNAcentral. Lineage: Bacteria; Bacillati; Bacillota; Tissierellia; Tissierellales; Tissierellaceae.